UCGAUGGCCAUACCAUCCUGGAAGCACCUAAUCUUGUCUGAUCUCGGAAGCUAAGCAGGGUCGGGCCUGGUUAGCAGUACCUUGGAUGGGAGAAUUUCACAUGUGAACUGAUGCCAAAUGAU
This 122-nucleotide ribosomal RNA is filed under the name Propithecus coquereli (Coquerel's sifaka). The record is from RNAcentral. Lineage: Eukaryota; Metazoa; Chordata; Mammalia; Primates; Indriidae.